This 24-nucleotide non-coding RNA is filed under the name Arabidopsis thaliana (thale cress). Lineage: Eukaryota; Viridiplantae; Streptophyta; Magnoliopsida; Brassicales; Brassicaceae. The record is from RNAcentral.
AGGCCGCUUACAUUUCUGACUACU